AACUUUCAACAACGGAUCUCUUGGUUCUGGCAUCGAUGAAGAACGCAGCGAAAUGCGAUAAGUAAUGUGAAUUGCAGAAUUCAGUGAAUCAUCGAAUCUUUGAACGCACAUUGCGCCCGUCAGCAUUCUGGCGGGCAUGCCUGUUCGAGCGUCAUUU
This 157-nucleotide ribosomal RNA is filed under the name Oxydothis garethjonesii. RNAcentral's name for it is "5.8S ribosomal RNA". It matches the Rfam family "5.8S ribosomal RNA". Rfam says of the family: 5.8S ribosomal RNA (5.8S rRNA) is a component of the large subunit of the eukaryotic ribosome. The record is from RNAcentral. Lineage: Eukaryota; Fungi; Ascomycota; Sordariomycetes; Amphisphaeriales; Oxydothidaceae.